RNAcentral lists this ribosomal RNA (465 nucleotides) under uncultured bacterium. RNAcentral describes it as "bacterial SSU rRNA". It matches the Rfam family "Bacterial small subunit ribosomal RNA", at positions 337 to 794 of the family's 1533-position model. The record is from RNAcentral.
UCCUACGGGGGGCAGCAGUGGGGAAUAUUGGACAAUGGGCGAAAGCCUGAUCCAGCCACGCCGCGUGUGUGAUGAAGGUCUUCGGAUCGUAAAGCACUGUGGGGAGGGACGAAAAGCAGCGGGCUAAUACCUCGCUGUCAUGACGGUACCUCCUUAGCAAGCACCGGCUAACUCCGUGCCAGCAGCCGCGGUAAUACGGAGGGUGCAAACGUUGCUCGGAAUCAUUGGGCGUAAAGCGCGUGUAGGCGGCCAGUUAAGUCGAGUGUGAAAGCCCUGGGCUUAACCCAGGAAGUGCGCUCGAAACUGGCUGGCUUGAGUACGGGAGAGGGUAGCGGAAUUCCCGGUGUAGAGGUGAAAUUCGUAGAUAUCGGGAGGAACACCAGUGGCGAAGGCGGCUACCUGGACCGAUACUGACGCUGAGACGCGAAAGCGUGGGUAGCAAACAGGAUUAGAUACCCCGGUAGC